GUGGGGAAUAUUGGACAAUGGGCGAAAGCCUGAUCCAGCAAUGCCGCGUGAGUGAUGAAGGCCCUAGGGUUGUAAAGCUCUUUUACCCGGGAUGAUAAUGACAGUACCGGGAGAAUAAGCUCCGGCUAACUCCGUGCCAGCAGCCGCGGUAAUACGGAGGGAGCUAGCGUUGUUCGGAAUUACUGGGCGUAAAGCGCGCGUAGGCGGUUUUCCAAGUCAGUGGUGAAAGCCCGGGGCUCAACCCCGGAAUAGCCCUUGAAACUGGAAGACUAGAAUCUUGGAGAGGUCAGUGGAAUUCCGAGUGUAGAUGUGAAAUUCGUAGAUAUUCGGAAGAACACCAGUGGCGAAGGCGACUGACUGGACAAGUAUUGACGCUGAGGUGCGAAAGCGUGGGAGCAAACAGGAUUAGAAACCCGGGUAGUCC
Molecule: ribosomal RNA, 424 nt
Filed under: uncultured bacterium
Lineage: Bacteria
Description: partial 16S ribosomal RNA
Rfam family: Bacterial small subunit ribosomal RNA
Source: RNAcentral